RNAcentral lists this ribosomal RNA (253 nucleotides) under uncultured bacterium. RNAcentral describes it as "partial 16S ribosomal RNA". It matches the Rfam family "Bacterial small subunit ribosomal RNA", at positions 524 to 776 of the family's 1533-position model. The record is from RNAcentral.
UACAGAGGUCCCAAGCGUUGUUCGGAAUCAUUGGGCGUAAAGAGCGUGUAGGCGGUCCGGUAAGUCCGCUGUGAAAGUCGGGGGCUCAACCCUCGAAUGCCGGUGGAUACUGUCGGGCUAGAGUACGGAAGAGGCGAGUGGAAUUCCUGGUGUAGCGGUGAAAUGCGCAGAUAUCAGGAGGAACACCUAUUGCGAAGGCAGCUCGCUGGGACGUAACUGACGCUGAGAAGCGAAAGCAUGGGGAGCGAACAGG